Long non-coding RNA from Sycon ciliatum, 734 nucleotides. RefSeq lists it as uncharacterized. The record is from RefSeq and is a predicted model, not a curated record. The transcript is spliced from 3 exons. NCBI's taxonomy places the organism in Eukaryota, Metazoa, Porifera, Calcarea, Leucosolenida, Sycettidae.
UGUAAACAGUAUCCGCAGCAGCGCGCCUUGGGUCAAGUACCUUAGUUGCGAGACUAAAGUUUGGGCCCGCGCCAGUUGGAAACUCACUUCAACUUUCGUCCACCGUGCAGUGCAGUGACGACUUUGUUCAGCGGUUGCCAGCGCAGGAGCCCUAGGCUGCAGUCCUCCAACUUGUCCAACCCGGCAGUUCCGGCACAAUGGCGUAUCAAACCAUCCACUGGACCGCCGCCCAACGCUACGGUGGCGAAGUAGAUGGAGGAAGAGAGGCGUGCCUGGCGAGAGUCAACAGUGGAACCAUGGCACAAAGCCCUAGUGCGAUUGAGCAGAGAGUGACGGAGUAAAGCCCGGAGGAGGCACAGCAUGUGUGGGCGUGUGAGUGGGUGGGCGUGUGGGUGGUAGACGACAAGGAUGAGGACUCUCACUCCAACUAACGAGGACUCGCACUCCAACUAGUGAUUGAUACUUCGGAGGGAAACCUUGAUCUGUUGCAGUCAGAGCAUGACUGGAAUCGUUGCCAAAAGAGAAAAUCUGUCCCUGUCCCGUACAUCUUCAGAUUUUUCAUACUACUUUUGCGACGUGCUUACAUGUAAAUGGUACAAAAUGUGUGUGUUGCAUGCGUGCAUGUGUGUGUUGUAUGUGUGUGUUGUAUGCGUGCAUGUGUGUGUUGUAUGUGUGUGUUGUAUGCGUGUGUGUGUGUGUGUGUGUGUGUGUGUGUGUGUGUGUGUGUGUGUGUG